GCCCUCACCCGCCGGUCCUUCGGCGGGACCGUGCUCGGGUCCGCGACCUUCUCCGUCGAGGUCGCCCCGCGGUCCAACGCCGCGGUGACGGUGCC
Molecule: transfer RNA, 95 nt
Filed under: Agromyces flavus
Lineage: Bacteria; Bacillati; Actinomycetota; Actinomycetes; Micrococcales; Microbacteriaceae
Description: tRNA-Ser
Source: RNAcentral